GAUGAAGAACGCAGCGAAAUGCGAUACGUAAUGUGAAUUGCAAAUUCAGUGAAUCAUCGAGUCUUUGAACGCACAUUGCGCCCCCUGGUAUUCCGGGGGGCAUGCCUGUUCGAGCGUCAUUUCACCACUCAAGCCUCGCUUGGUAUUGGGCAACGCGGUCCGCCGCGUGCCUCAAAUCGACCGGCUGGGUCUUCUGUCCCCUAAGCGUUGUGGAAACUUUCGCUAAAGGGUGUUCGGGAGGCUACGCCGUAAAACAACCCCAUUUCUAAGGUUGACCUCGGAUCAGGUAGGGAUACCCGCUGAACUUAAGCAUAUCAAUAAGCGGAGGA
This 329-nucleotide unclassified non-coding RNA is filed under the name soil metagenome. RNAcentral's name for it is "partial contains 5.8S ribosomal RNA, internal transcribed spacer 2, and large subunit ribosomal RNA". The stretch from base 1 to 119 matches the Rfam family "5.8S ribosomal RNA", at positions 35 to 154 of the family's 154-position model. The record is from RNAcentral.